UCCUUUUUUAAAUUAUCUUAAUAUUUUUUAUUCCCAACAGACUUGUCUUUGGACAAAAUUGAGAAGAACUCAUAAACUUCGCUUCUUCACUUCUGCUCCUCAGACACGCAUGGAUGAUUUGAACAUAUUAGCCUAACAAGAUGGAAGCAGGUUUAAAAUUUUAUAUAAGAAGUUACCUUUUUCAGGCAGUACAUACAGCUUCACUGGGGUCUGUGUGUCAAACUUACCAAGAGGAGGACAUUGUGGAGACUUAUUGUUAAUUAGCAAUGCUUAUGCAUGCAAACCUUGGUCAGAUGAUGUUCUGUUUGGAGAGAAAAUUGAAUAAGUACAUGACCCCUUGGAAGCUGUUUUCAGUUGAGGAUUUUGUUGUGUUGAUGUUCCUUUCAGCUGGUCCUAUAGUCCCCCUCCUCAGGAAUGUCUCCCAGUGCAAGGACAAAGACUGAAGAGACUGCUAUAUUGAUGGACCCUCAAGCCAACUAUGAAGUUGAAACAAAGAAAGUGAUCACCUGAAGACACCUCCUCUGCUAAGAAACACCCCCAAAUUGUGCAGCUUCUGACACU
Molecule: long non-coding RNA, 561 nt
Filed under: Pongo abelii (Sumatran orangutan)
Lineage: Eukaryota; Metazoa; Chordata; Mammalia; Primates; Hominidae
Description: lincRNA
Source: RNAcentral